This 253-nucleotide ribosomal RNA is filed under the name uncultured bacterium. RNAcentral's name for it is "partial 16S ribosomal RNA". It matches the Rfam family "Bacterial small subunit ribosomal RNA", at positions 524 to 776 of the family's 1533-position model. The record is from RNAcentral.
UACGAAGGGGGCUAGCGUUGCUCGGAAUGACUGGGCGUAAAGGGCGCGUAGGCGGCUCAUACAGUCAGAUGUGAAAUUCCUGGGCUUAACCUGGGGGCUGCAUUUGAUACGUGUGGGUUUGAGUGGGGAAGAGGGGGGUGGAAUUCCAGGUGUAGCAGUGAAAUGCGUAGAGAUCUGGAGGAACACCGAUGGCGAAGGCAGCCCCCUGGGCUAACACUGACGCUCAUGCACGAAAGCGUGGGGAGCAAACAGG